This 464-nucleotide long non-coding RNA is filed under the name Nicotiana tabacum (common tobacco). RNAcentral describes it as "long non-coding RNA (NTAB_LNC004149)". Lineage: Eukaryota; Viridiplantae; Streptophyta; Magnoliopsida; Solanales; Solanaceae. The record is from RNAcentral.
GACAAUAGAAUAAGAAUGGAACUAGUAGUUGGCAUUAACAGCCAAAAAUGUGAUACAUGCUAAGAUUCAUGGCACUAGGUUGCACAACAUUCAACAACAACAAAAUCUCACAAGUGGGGUAUGGGGAGGGCAGUGUAUACGUAGACAUUGCCUCUACCUUGUGAAGGUAGAGAGACUGUUUCCGACGGACCCUCGGGUCAGUAAAGGUUGCACAACAUUCGUAAUGAAGAAAGGCCCCUACAAUAUUCUAUUUUCCGGCAAUCAUAAUUCAACAAAAUUCCUACUUCAAAAGUAGAAGUACCAUGACUAGAAGCAAACAUGCUAAUCAACAAGAUUUAGGACUUGAGUUUGAAGCACUUCUAACAGUAUUCCAAAUUUGGACAACCGAAUUUGCAACACGAGGGAGCACUUGAAGAAGGCCACCAGCGGCCAAUCCAAUGGCAAGGGCUUGAGGGUAGCCUGGC